UGGGGAAUUUUGCACAAUGGGGGAAACCCUGAUGCAGCGACGCCGCGUGAUUUAGAAGGCCUUCGGGUUUUAAAAAUCUUUUCUAUGGGAAGAAAAUGACAUUACCAUAGGAAUAAGGACUGGCUAAUUACGUGCCAGCAGCCGCGGUAAUACGUAAGGUCCGAGCCUUGUCCGGAAUCAUUGGGCGUUAAGGGUCCGUAGGCGGAUAAGCAAGUUAGAAGUGAAAUCCUAUAGCUCAACUAUAGUAAGCGUUUAGAACUGCUCAUCUUGAGGUAUGGAAGGGAAAGUGGGAUUACUAGGGUAGCGGUGAAAUGCGCAGAUAUUAGGAGGAAAACCGGUGGCGAAGGCGAAUUUUUGGACAUAUACUGAAGCUGAGGUACGAAAGCGGGGGUAGCAAACAGG
This 402-nucleotide ribosomal RNA is filed under the name Verrucomicrobiota bacterium. Its description in RNAcentral is "Verrucomicrobia bacterium partial 16S ribosomal RNA". It matches the Rfam family "Bacterial small subunit ribosomal RNA", at positions 355 to 776 of the family's 1533-position model. Lineage: Bacteria; Pseudomonadati; Verrucomicrobiota. The record is from RNAcentral.